GACGUAGGGCGCGAGCGUUGUCCGGAUUUAUUGGGCGUAAAGAGCUCGUAGGCGGCUUGUCGCGUCGUCCGUGAAAACCCACAGCUCAACUGUGGGCUUGCGGUCGAUACGGGCAGGCUAGAGUUCGGUAGGGGAGACUGGAAUUCCUGGUGUAGCGGUGAAAUGCGCAGAUAUCAGGAGGAACACCGGUGGCGAAGGCGGGUCUCUGGGCCGAUACCGACGCUGAGGAGCGAAAGCGUGGGGAGCGAACAGG
Molecule: ribosomal RNA, 253 nt
Filed under: uncultured bacterium
Lineage: Bacteria
Description: partial 16S ribosomal RNA
Rfam family: Bacterial small subunit ribosomal RNA
Source: RNAcentral